Molecule: ribosomal RNA, 998 nt
Filed under: uncultured bacterium
Lineage: Bacteria
Description: bacterial SSU rRNA
Rfam family: Bacterial small subunit ribosomal RNA
Source: RNAcentral
AGAGUUUGAUCCUGGCUCAGAACGAACGCUGGCGGCGUGCUUAAUACAUGCAAGUCGUACGAGAAAGUUCUGCUUCGGCAGGGCGAGUAAAGUGGCGAACGGGUGCGUAACACGUGGGUAACCUGCCUCGAAGUUGGGGAUAAGCCCUCGAAAGGGGGUCUAAUACCGGAUAAUAUCCUCAGAGGACAUCCUCUGGGGAUCAAAGGUUGCCAAAAUUCUUUAGCUAUUGCUUUGAGAGGGGCCCGCGGUCCAUUAGCUUGUUGGCGAGAUAAAAGCUCACCAAGGCUACGAUGGAUAGCCGACCUGAGAGGGUGUACGGCCACACUGGGACUGAGAUACGGCCCAGACUCCUACGGGAGGCAGCAGUAGGGAAUAUUGCGCAAUGGGCAAAUGCCUGACGCAGCAACGCCGCGUGGGUGAUGAAGUUCUUCGGAAUGUAAAACCCUGUCAGAGGGGAAGAAACUUCCCAAGGCGAAUAGCUUUGGGAACUGACGGUACCCUCAGAGGAAGCUCCGGCCAACUCCGUGCCAGCAGCCGCGGUAAUACGGGGGGAGCGAGCGUUGUUCGGAAUCACUGGGCGUAAAGGGUGUGUAGGCGGGCAAGCAAGUCGGGCGUGAAAACUCCAGGCUUAACCUGGAGCCUGCGUCCGAAACUGCCUGUCUUGAGUACGGGAGAGGAAAGUGGAAUUCCUGGUGUAGCGGUGAAAUGCGUAGAUAUCACGAGGAACACCGGUGGCGAAGGCGGCUUUCUAGCCCGAUACUGACGCUGAGACACGAAAGGCUAGGGGAGCAAACAGGAUUAGAUACCCUGGUAGUCCUAGCGGUAAACGUUGGGCACUAAGUGUUGUCCCUUAACCGGGGCAGUGCCGCAGUUAACGCAUUAGUGCCCGCCUGGGGAGUACGACCGCAAGGUUGAACUCAAGGAAUUGACGGGACCUGCACAGCGGUGAGUAUGUGGUUUAAUCGACGCAACGGAAAACCUACCUGGGCUUGACAUGC